Long non-coding RNA from Halichondria panicea, 3508 nucleotides. RefSeq lists it as uncharacterized. The transcript has 3 exons. NCBI's taxonomy places the organism in Eukaryota, Metazoa, Porifera, Demospongiae, Suberitida, Halichondriidae. The record is from RefSeq and is a predicted model, not a curated record.
GUUGGUCUACCCACCACUAUACAUAACUAGUGUUCAAGCUGGCGCUGUGCUAAUGCCUCUCGCCAUGUUUUUGCUUUCGCUGAAAAGUAUUAGAGUGUUAUAUUAGUUUCUAUAAUGAAUUUUAUAUUAAAGUUAGCUUAUCUAUAUAAAGUCACUGAGAAGAAAAGACUUAUUUACAUGCAUCUAUUGUUGUAUUAUGUGGCUUACUAGGACCUCAAGAAAGAAGAAAAUUGAUUCUUCCAAGAUCUGUAGUUCAGUGUAUAUAAUAUCUAAGAAGAAAAGACCUGUGUACAUGCAUAUUGUUAUCUAUAUUGUUAUAUGGUAGUGUUUUGUGGCUUACCAGGCCUUCAAGACAAAGAUGAUUCUGCCAGGAGGAUCUGGAUCUGGAUCUUGGAUAUUAUUAUUUUCUCACACGUGGGGAAUGAGCGCGCAUGCGCAUUACAUACAUAGGAAUAAUUAAAGGGUGUGUCCAAAGAGAUCAAUUUCACAAAUGGCUACUGCUAGCUAGCUGUUUUAACAGAUAUUUUCUGAGUAUUGUAGCUAACAAAAAGCUAGCGCUUUAGUGCAAGGCUAACUCAUAUGUUGAAUAGAAAGUUUGUGCGGACAGAUGAUGCUAUGAAAGAUUCUGAAGAGACUGCAACAGCCUUCAAUGAAUCUAUUCGUCCCUAUUAAGGAAGGUUUAACCGAUGGGUUAACUGCACUAGGAGGUGAGCAAAGGCAAGGUCUCCAUGCUCGAUCUGGGCUCGUCGUUAAGGAUGGCUUGAGUUCAUUAGGAGGUAGGCAGACACUAUUAUACAGUGUAUCUUUGCAGAAUUAUUAUGCAGCGAGCGACCGUCAUUAUUUGAAAUGCCAUGCAUCAUAUGCAUGUAUACUAUGGCCAACAAGGUCACACUACCCAGUCUACAGCAAUUUUGUAAUAACACAUUAGUGCUGAUGACAUCACUUGAAAGCGUAAUAAUUAGAUUGUUGAACGCCAAAGUAUUACACAAAAUUAUAAUUAUUCAUAAAUUAUGUUCAGAGUGUGAUUUCUCACAGUGAUACAAUGUAUUACACAAAAAAUAGAUGGCCAGGUCAAGUAUAAUUAUGGUGUGGCCCCAAUACACAAGUGUCAGCUUUUCAGUCCAUAAUCAUCCAAUAAUGUAUCCUCCAUUCCCCCCUCCUCCAUUCGGCGCUCCCCCACCUUUCUAUGGCCAUGAGCCAUACGUGUCAAGACAGAGGACCAGGGCCAGCAGAAGAAACAGGCCGUACAAUAGAACCCAUACCCCUGCAAGGCCGUUGCUCGAUAGUCUCGCACCAGCACCGUCGUCGUGAUUGCACGUGUCCAGUUCUUGACAAUUCAAACUUUCUUCAAGGUGAAGAUCGUUCAGUACAGAAAAGCUAUAGAAACAGCCUCAAACUCAUCUGGAUGAAGAUCGUUAGCUGUAGGUAAACAUGACUGUGAGUGAGCUAAAGACUGCAAAGACUAAGGAUGAGUUUAAUCGCAUGGCAAUUGCCACGAAAGUGGGCAAAGAAGGUGGUACAGAUGUCGAAGAACGGCAGGUGGCCAAGUUCAUGACCCACUCCAUAGAUGUUGCCAGGGCCAACUACCAACACCUGGCAACAACUGAGCAGGCUGUGUCUGUUUAUUCUUCCCUAAACAAACAACGAACUGAGACAGAACAACCUCACACAAAAAGAAGAAAGUUUACAGAUACCGAAGCUGAACUCAUUAAAGACUAUACUUCAAGCCAUAAGAUUUGUCCAAAGCAUCCAGCGCAGACAGAGCCUGUGCUUUCCUCAAAGAUCAUCAAAAAGAAGGAGUGUUCACAGAAAGAAGUUUCUAACAAAUACAAGACAAAGUAAAGACAAUACUAAGACAGAUUAGGAAGUAAUUGGACUAUAGUUAGCUUUUAGUGUGCAUGUACAUUGAUUAUCAAGUUAAUGAGUUAUUAAUUGGUGACCCUCCUGGCUAGGCUAGAACUUUGUCAACAAUAAGGCAGGAGACAUUUGGUCACAGCCCAUGGCUAGUAUGUGCAGCCCUCCUGGUUAGGCUAGGACUUUGUUCUUUUACAACAAUAAGACAGGAGACAUUUGGUCACCAUAGUAAUUAUGAACACUUACUUCCACAAUAUUUAUCCUGAAUAUUUAUCUGUCUCUGGAACGCGAUCUCUUGCUUCUGUCCCUGUCUCUAGAAUAUGAUCUCUUGCUUCUGUCCCUGGAACGCGAUCUCUUGCUUCUGUCCAUUAUAAUGAAGUUCAUUUGGUCCGGUUUGUUGACAGAUGAAAUGCAACGAAAUGAAUAAUGUCUGUGUGGCUAUCGGCCUUAUCUCAAUUGCCGUUGCUAUACACGUCGACCGUCAUAGUAGGUGAAUGUAAUUUGUAUUCCAAAAAUAAGAGUCUGAUCAUAUUGGCAUGUAAGUACUCCACAAGGCGUUAUACGGAGAACACCCAGUUUCAGUGCUCAUAACUCUCUAACAUAAAGUUAUAAUUAUACUAAUAUACACACAAUCAUGAUAAUUAUCAUGAUGCAUUAAGUUUGCUGCAUUCAGGCAGAAUCACAGAGAGUGGGAAAUUAUCGACCAUGCAUGCAUGAAAAAUUCUGUCGUGCAUGUAGGCCUGUUAAAUAUUAUAGCACCAUUUAUACUGUGUCUCGUUAUUGGGCUCGUUAUUGAGUAUAUUAUAGAGCCUUAUAAAAUUUGCCAUGUAACAUAAAAAUUUGCUACGUAACAUCAUUUUGCACAUGCAUGCACUUGUUGCAUGUAAAAGUGGCAUGGAAAGUCUCCACUUGGCAGGAAAAGUUACGUUGGGAUCGGAGUCGGUUACCAAGAAGAGGUUGCUAAUAACUAACUCAUUUCAGAGGCCAUGCAGGUGGCGGUCAUGAAAGUGUUUUAACGAUUAUUUAUGGACAAGCUUGACCAUAAUAGAUAAAAAAGCCAGCCAAGCUAAGCGUUAAACAGAGAAUAAACAACCAGGAGGGGGAGACGGACCAGGUGAACGAUACACCGGACACCAACCAGGAGGGGGAGACGGACCAGGUGAACGAUACACCAGACACCAACCAGGAGAGAGAGACGGACCAGGUGAAUGAUACACCAGACACCAACCAGGAGGGAGAGACGGACCAGGUGAACAAUACACCAGACACCAACCAGGAGAGAGAGACGGACCAGGUGAAUAUGAUACACCAGACACCAACCAGGAGGUGGAGACGGCAGUAGUUGUCCACCACGUUCCUUCGUGAGCUUGGACACAGGGAACUAGCUGACAACCUCGACAGAGCAAACCACCUUACAUACGACGGACCAGUAAACACAGUUUUAGGUGGCAGAUUUGUAGCAAAUAGUUUUAAACGUUCAGAGUCAGAUAUUAGAUGAAAAAGGGCUACCACUCCAAGUUCCAAAGUGGCAGCAUCCGUGACACCAGGAUCACGUUCAGAUUACACAUGCUACGAGAUCAAGGAGGAUAACAGAUACUCAAUAAUAUAUUAUUGAAAAAAGAGAAGAAAGAAAUAUUUUAAAAUGCUUUUUGCA